UGGGGAAUUUUGGACAAUGGGCGAAAGCCUGAUCCAGCAAUGCCGCGUGUGUGAAGAAGGCCUUCGGGUUGUAAAGCACUUUUGUCCGGAAAGAAAUCCUUGGCUCUAAUACAGUCGGGGGAUGACGGUACCGGAAGAAUAAGCACCGGCUAACUACGUGCCAGCAGCCGCGGUAAUACGUAGGGUGCAAGCGUUAAUCGGAAUUACUGGGCGUAAAGCGUGCGCAGGCGGUUUGCUAAGACCGAUGUGAAAUCCCCGGGCUCAACCUGGGAACUGCAUUGGUGACUGGCAGGCUAGAGUAUGGCAGAGGGGGGUAGAAUUCCACGUGUAGCAGUGAAAUGCGUAGAGAUGUGGAGGAAUACCGAUGGCGAAGGCAGCCCCCUGGCAAGUACUGACGCUCAUGCACGAAAGCGUGGGGGAGCAAACAGGAUUAAUACCCUGGUAGUCCACGCCCUAAAANGAUGUCAACUAGUUGUUGGGGAUUCAUUUCCUUAGUAACGUAGCUAACGCGUGAAGUUGACCGCCU
RNAcentral lists this ribosomal RNA (526 nucleotides) under uncultured bacterium. RNAcentral describes it as "partial 16S ribosomal RNA". It matches the Rfam family "Bacterial small subunit ribosomal RNA", at positions 355 to 874 of the family's 1533-position model. The record is from RNAcentral.